CAGUAGCCGCGGGAACACGAAGGGGGCUAGCGUUGUUCGGAAUUACUGGGCGUAAAGGGUGCGUAGGCGGCUUGACAAGUCUUGUGUGAAACCUAUGGGCUCAACCCAUAGUCUGCACGGGAAACUGUCGGGCUUGAGAAUGGGAGAGGUGAGUGGAAUUUCCGGUGUAGCGGUGAAAUGCGUAGACAUCGGAAGGAACACCUGUGGCGAAAGCGGCUCACUGGACCAUUUCUGACGCUGAUGCACGAAAGCUAGGGGAGCAAACAGGAUUAGAUACCCCCGUAGUCCCUGUCUCUUAUAC
Molecule: ribosomal RNA, 301 nt
Filed under: uncultured bacterium
Lineage: Bacteria
Description: partial 16S ribosomal RNA
Rfam family: Bacterial small subunit ribosomal RNA
Source: RNAcentral